GGGCAUGCAAAUUCGAAAUGAAAGCCCGGAAACCCCGGAACUAGAACUGGUAUGGAGUCUCACUCUGUCGCCCAGGCUGGAGUGUAGUAGCGCAAUCUUGGCUCACUGCAACCUCGGACUCCCAGGUUCAAGAGAUUCUCCUGCAUCAGCCUCCCAAGUAGCUGGGACUACAGAUCUCUUCAACUACCUGUGAAAACUGAUGUGAUGAAAAGGGGAAUUUGAAGGAGCCAUUCCAGAAGACAGGGCGAAAACUGAAGUGCAAUCAGGGCCAAGAAAAACAGAAAUAGCAGGACCUGGAGUUGCAUAGGUUGAAUAGUUGAAUAGGCUGCUCUCCUCAGCUGGCAGGAAACCUGGCAGCCUCCUGGUGCCCAAGGACUGAAAACCUUAGAAGCACCUGGAGUUGGCAGCCUUGGCAUGGUCAGGUUGGCACCUCUGGAGGUGCCCAGGCUUCCCUGGCAGCAUUGUGAGCAGUGGAUGGUGUUGAAGGGCAGCCAGAGGAGGAAUGGAACACAUGCUCCUUGCUAACCACACGGACAAGGCCACGUUCACAGGUACACAAAGGCAACGCAGUUGCUCAGGUGCUUCGGUAUCACAGCCAAGACCCCUUCGGGGGAAGCUAGUCGGAUACUGGGACCCACAUUCCAGACUACUGAGCCGCGGUCGCGCCCUCGGCUCCGUUUCUGCUCCCUCCACCCCACGAGGACGGGGGUGGAAGGCCACCUUCGAUGGGUGCAUCCUCCACGAUGACCUGCUAACAAAGGUGCAUGGAUUUCAGAGUCUGAUUGGCCUACAACAGCAUUUGGCUUGUGGAGACAGUGGUUCCCUGAUGAAAAACUGCCAUGAUGUAAGGAAGAGCCUGUCAGAGCGAGGCUGGGGUGCUGCGUGUUGGGGAGGUGGAGGUGUGGCUUCCCGGGAGAAGCUCCACCCGCUGGCUGAGUCUGGCACAUAAACCAGUCUGUGAGGGGAUGGAUGUGGGUGUAAUGGGGGCAAUUACAGUAGGAAGGAGCCCACGUGGAGCCUGCAUUCUCUGGGACAGGGCAUUACUGCAUUCUCUGGGACAGGCUAAGGCCCAGAUCCUACCUUCCCAGGUGGCUGGAUGGGUCAUAGAUGUAUGAACCGGUCCCCUCAUUUUCUGAUUGCCCUGUGCUUAACGUUUCUGUACCUUUACUGAGGCUCUUUCCUCCAACUCCAGUGCCCAGACCCCCCUUCUCCUGAACAUGAAUGCCUGUCCAUGGAAAUUCGAGUCUCUCUCUCUCACCCAGGCUGGAGUGCAGUGAUGCAAUCUCAACUCACUGCAACCUCUGCCUCCCAGGUUCAAGUGAUUCUUGUGCCUCAGCCUCUGGAGUAUCUAGGAUCACAGGUGCGUGCCACCAUGUCUGGCUAAUGUUUUGUAUUUAUAGUAGAGAUGGGUUUCGACAUAUUGGCCAGGCUGGUCUUGAUCUCCUGGCCUCAAAGUGAUCUACCCACCUGGGCCUCCCAAAUUGCUGGGAUUACAGUUGUGAGCCACCACACCCAGCCUGUCCCUGAAAUUCUAAUGAAAUGUGCGAUAAAGUUGUUUUGUUUUUCUUUUUGUUUUCCCUUCUUGGCAAAGCCUGGUGUUUCUAUUUUAGUGGAUUUGCCUGGCACUGAGGACUGCUAUGGUGGUCUUCAGAGGCUCCUGGUAUUGACUGCUUGUGAAACCGCUUUUGCAAAAUUAUGACUGAGACAGUGAAAGAGAUCUAACUUAACCGACCCAAUCUUGCUUCUAACCUCCAAAUUGUCCUUAUUCAUUCCUGAGCAUAGCCUGAACUAACUUUGGGAGAAGCUUAGUUUAUAUUUUAUUUUAUAGUUUAAAACAAAGAUGUUAACAGCCCUUUCCCAAGGCAGACUUCCUUCUUGCCUGGGGACUAGGUUGCCUUUGGAGGACUAACAUUAGCCACGAGAUUAGAAAUUAUGGGCUGGGCCUCGUGGCUCACCCCUGUAAUCCCAGCACUUUGGGAGGCCACGGCAGGUAGAUCACCUGAGGUCAGGAGUUCAAGACCAGCCUGGCCAACGUGGUGAAACCCCAUCUCUACUAAAGAAUACAAAAAUUAGCCGGUUAUGGUGGCACAUGCCUAUACUGCCAGCUACUUGGGAAGCUGAGGUGGGAGGAUCGCUUGAACCUGGGAGGCGGCGUGGAGGUUGCAGUGAGCCAGGAUCUUGCCACUGCACUCCAGCUUGGGCGACAGAGUGAGACUCUGUCUCAAAAAAAAAAAGUUUAGAAAUUAUGCUUUAGGAGUCAUGCAGCUGGAGGCUACAAGAUUCUGACCCUCCCUAAACUGCUCCUAAGAUCAGUGCUUGAGAUAUUUUGCAGACCCUGCACUUGAUGGAUCAGCUGGCACCACCCAGACUGAUUAACUGGCUCAUGUGAUCUUGUGGUCCCCACCCAGGAACUUAAUCAGCACAAGGAGACAGCUUCAACUCCCUAUGAUUUCAUCCCUGACCAAUCAGCACUCCUGGGCUCACUGGCUUCCCCCUACCCACCAAGUUGUCCUUAAAAAGUCUGCUCCCCAAAUGCUCGGGUAGACUGAUUUGGGUAAUAAUAAAACUCCGGUCUC
Molecule: long non-coding RNA, 2576 nt
Organism: Homo sapiens (human)
Lineage: Eukaryota; Metazoa; Chordata; Mammalia; Primates; Hominidae
Product: long intergenic non-protein coding RNA 910
Source: Ensembl